This 102-nucleotide microRNA precursor is filed under the name Marmota monax (woodchuck). The record is from RNAcentral. Lineage: Eukaryota; Metazoa; Chordata; Mammalia; Rodentia; Sciuridae.
AGUGGGAUAGUUGGGUCAAAUGGUGGUUCCAUUGCAAGUUUUCUGAGGAAUCUCCAUACUGCUUUCCAGAGUGGUGGACCAAUUUUCAGUCCCACCAACAAU